This 492-nucleotide ribosomal RNA is filed under the name uncultured bacterium. Its description in RNAcentral is "partial 16S ribosomal RNA". It matches the Rfam family "Bacterial small subunit ribosomal RNA", at positions 29 to 507 of the family's 1533-position model. The record is from RNAcentral.
AGUGAACGCUGGCGGUAGGCCUAACACAUGCAAGUCGAACGGCAGCACAGUAAGAGCUUGCUCUUACGGGUGGCGAGUGGCGGACGGGUGAGGAAUACAUCGGAAUCUACUUUUUCGUGGGGGAUAACGUAGGGAAACCUACGCUAAUACCGCAUACGACCUACGGGUGAAAGCAGGGGAUCUUCGGACCUUGCGCGAUUGAAUGAGCGGAUGUUGGAUUAGCUAGUUGGCGGGGUAAAGGCCCACCAAGGCGACGAUCCGUAGCUGGUCUGAGAGGAUGAUCGGCCACACUGGAACUGGGACACGGUCCAGACUCCUACGGGAGGCAGCAGUGGGGAAUAUUGGACAAUGGGCGCAAGCCUGAUCCAGCCAUACCGCGUGGGUGAAGAAGGCCUUCGGGUUGUAAAGCCCUUUUGUUGGGAAAGAAAAGCAGCAGGUUAUGACCCCGCUGUUCUGACGGUACCCAAAGAAUAAGCACCGGCUAACUUCGUG